GGGGAUGCACCGGUUUCGACGGGGAUUUUGAAAUUCGAGGUAGCCAUUGGAAAUGGGUAAUUCCUUAAAAGCCCAAAACUUUUUUAAAAUAAACGACGAAUCUAAUUUCGCAAUGGCAGCCUAAGCUGCUGCCCAUCGGCCCGAUUACUCUCACCGAAUCGGUUCCCGGUGCCAAACAGGUGAGGCACUUUUGUUGCAAAGCUUUGAGCAAUAAAAAGAAUUUAUGAAGCUACUCCGACAUUAAGCCUGUUGUUCGGCGUUUUGAAGGAGGAAUUUUAAAAGAGCAACUGUAAUGGGAGAAGCCGCGGAUGAAGGGUUUUCGGACGUGGGUUCAAUUCCCACCAUCUCCAUUU
This 353-nucleotide transfer-messenger RNA is filed under the name Lachnospiraceae bacterium. It matches the Rfam family "transfer-messenger RNA". Rfam says of the family: Bacterial tmRNA, also known as 10Sa RNA or SsrA, is named for its dual tRNA and mRNA-like properties. Its role is to liberate the mRNA from a stalled ribosome. The record is from RNAcentral. RNAcentral also lists the same sequence under 1 other name. Lineage: Bacteria; Bacillati; Bacillota; Clostridia; Lachnospirales; Lachnospiraceae.